This is a long non-coding RNA of Archocentrus centrarchus (flier cichlid), 407 nucleotides long. RefSeq lists it as uncharacterized. NCBI's taxonomy places the organism in Eukaryota, Metazoa, Chordata, Actinopteri, Cichliformes, Cichlidae. The transcript is spliced from 3 exons. The record is from RefSeq and is a predicted model, not a curated record.
UGAAACAUUCAACUGAUGAAUCAGCAGUCAAAGAGAAGAUGAGGGCCACGUUUCAGUAUCAUCAAACACUGGUUCAAGAUCAACAGUGCUCUUCAACAGUCUUGGAUGUCUUCCCACAGUUCCUUAACAUCACUGGCUUGAUUGACCAAGACUUCGGUGUCGGGCAGAUCUUUGGCAAAAUGUCCUACUUUUUUCAAACCUGGGAUCCUGACAGAGUGCAGAAAACUGAUUUCUAAUGAACACAUUGAAGAGCUCUUGUCUGCGAAGCACGACACAGGCUGGAACAGUGACCUGUCAAGCCUUCUACUGUUGCUUCACUUGCUUCCACCUACCUCCAAAGGCCAUAAGAAGAGUGCCAAAAUCUGUAAUCUGGUGCUCCUCUUUGAUACAGAUUGGGAAUAUUGUUG